AUUGAACGCUGGCGGCAGGCCUAACACAUGCAAGUCGAGCGGAUGAAGGGAGCUUGCUCCUGUAUUCAGCGGCGGACGGGUGAGUAAUGCCUAGGAAUCUGCCUUGUAUUUGGGGAUAACGUCCGGAAACGGGCGCUAAUACCGCAUACGUCCUUAUGGAGAAAGUGGGGGAUCUUCGGACCUCACGCUAUCAGAUGAGCCUAGGUCGUAUUAGCUAGUUGGUGGGGUAAAGGCCUACCAAGGCGACGAUCCGUAACUGGUCUGAGAGGAUGAUCAGUCACACUGGAACUGAGACACGGUCCAGACUCCUACGGGAGGCAGCAGUGGGGAAUCUUGGACAAUGGGCGAAAGCCUGAUCCAGCAAUGCCGCGUGUGUGAAGAAGGUCUUCGGAUUGUAAAGCACUUUAAGUUGGGAGGAAGGGCAGUAAGUUAAUACAUUGCUGUUUUGACGUUACCAACAGAAUAAGCACCGGCUAACUUCGUG
This 484-nucleotide ribosomal RNA is filed under the name uncultured bacterium. Its description in RNAcentral is "partial 16S ribosomal RNA". It matches the Rfam family "Bacterial small subunit ribosomal RNA", at positions 30 to 507 of the family's 1533-position model. The record is from RNAcentral.